This is a long non-coding RNA of Monopterus albus (swamp eel), 2523 nucleotides long. RefSeq lists it as uncharacterized. The record is from RefSeq and is a predicted model, not a curated record. The transcript has 3 exons. NCBI's taxonomy places the organism in Eukaryota, Metazoa, Chordata, Actinopteri, Synbranchiformes, Synbranchidae.
AUACCUGACAGUAACUAAGGCAUGGACCCAGGGAGAGCAGUCAGUGUUACCGUGGAGAUGUUGAGCUGAUACUGCAGAGGAGACGCAGUGAAAAGCGGAUCUUAAUGAAAAAAUAAAUCAUCACCGGAUCCCUGAUACAGCUCUUCUCUCCUCAGCUCUGCGUAAAGUGACCACAGAUGCAUUGGACAUGUCCCAGAACUGUCACAAAGGUGUCUACCGUUCAAGUAGUCCGCACGCAACAACAAACCAAUCGGCACUGGUCCCUGCGGCGUGUGUGUGCGCAGCGGGCGGACGGAUACGGACGAAUCGCAGGUUUAUCAAGGAGUAAACGUGCCAGAAAACCCCGCCACCGGAGCGCAGAGCCCGAGGAAACCGGCGCCGGACCCGGGUUCCUGCAGCCUUUCUCUUCACCUGACCUCCAGAGGAGGACAGUCUCAGGACUGGAAAUUUGAGAGUGACAGGUCCUGGUAUACAGCAUGUGUUUGUGUAUACAAUGUGCCUAUGGACAUGGAAAGGUCUAAGGAACUUCUUGACCUUGUGAGGGUGCUCUUCUCUCUCUCUCGACUUCCUCCUAUAUGCAGAGCCCUUCUGCAGCAGAAGCUUCUAAUAAAGAACGAAAAAGACAAAGUGGGUCUCAACCUUUCUUUUAUUUAAGAAGAAUUUUCACAACAUUACAGGUAACUGCAGUCAUGGCAAAGAAUAUUUGCACCCAUGUAUUUCUGUCAGAUAACGCACCAGUUCUCAGAAUUCAUUGGUGAUCUUCAGAUUUCAUAACGUCACACCCACAGUCAAGACAUUUUGUGCCUGAAGCAGCAGAGCAACCCCAGAACAUCAGUGAACCUCCACUGUGUUUGACUGUAGUGACAUGUAGUAACAGUAGAAUGAUGUGCUCAAACAAACAGCUCUAGUUCAGUCUUGUCUGUCCACAGGACAUUGCCCCAGAAGGACUGUGGCUUCCUCAGGCCAGUUUUGACAAACUCCACUCUGGCUUUUUUAUGUUUCUGUGUCAGUAGUGGGCCCCUGGGUCUCCUACCAAAGCAUCCCUCGUCAUUCAGACGGAGAUGGUGUGAGCUGACACUGUUGCAACCUGUGUCUGCAGGUCAGAUUGAAUUUCUCUGGAAGUUGAUUGAGGUUUUUUUAUCCACCAUUCGAACCAUCCUUUGUUACAAUCCGUCAUCUAUUCUUCUCUGUUGCCACGUCCAUGGAGAUCAGCUACGGCGCCAUGGGCUGUAAACGUCUUAACACACAGGAACAGCCAGAUCUCUGGAGAUGGACAUGGAACCUUGAGACUGUCUGUUUACUCACAUUGAUAUGGGUACCACUAGCAUGUCUGUUUGGUGUUCCUGUCUGUCACUGUCCAGGUUCUCUCUCAUGUAUGAACUUUGUUUAUCACUGAUCUCAUCAGUUACUCAGUCCUUAUUUGCUGUUUGCCAGAGUUUAUGGCUUUCAACUGUUCCCUUAUCUCUGUCUACUCCUACAUCAGUCAGUGGAAUGGUGCUCAUUGAAAAGACUGUUUGUACCUACCUCAGUCUUACUUGCUUGGACACCGAGAUGUGUAAGACUGGGUUUGAAAAUACCUAUCUGCAGUUCUGAGAUUACUUGCAAGAGAAUGCUGACCUGGAAUCCGGCGAAUCAGAAAACAUUACUUGUACCUGCACCCUAUGUGCUACCUUGUGUGUGAAAACAUGUACCUACAACUUAACCUGAGUUUCCUGUUAGAUGCAUAACAGCGAUUACAGCUAUCCCAGGCUGCCUGAGUGUAUCUGUUUCGCCAUAUCCCUGUUUACCUGUGUAAUCACUUACCUUUUAGUUUUAGCCACUCUUUGUCCGGUUUGUUUCUGAUAUCCGCUGUUUGGUUUAUUUACUUGUAACCUGCACUGCACCUGUUUGCCAUUGUAUAGACUGAGUUAAUAGAGGCCUUGUAUUCCUCAGCUCUGUUCCUUGUCUCGUUUGCAUCUCAGUCCUAAAACUGAAAUCCUCCCAUAUUUGUGUUAUACAACCUACAAUAACCAGGUCUUUACAGAUAUUUCAUGAUACAGUAACUAAUAAACUAACAUCCCCAUCCUCAGUUUGGAGGAUGGGGACAAUGCCACUGUUGAACUGUAUCUGCAUUAUACAGAUAAUUUCUGUUAUAUGGCUAAGUUUUACUAAUACAAAUAGUGUGGACAAAAACAAACAUCUGUCAGUGCAAUGCAGUUCACACACUAAAUGAUGUCUUACAAUACCUCAGAAUAGAACAGCUGCGAAAGGUUUAAGGUCCCGCUGCUAUCACAGGGCCGACUGAGCUAUGUUAAAUGCUAACAAAAAUAAAAUAAGAAACACAUGAAUUUAUCAGUCUUUAUUUGGUUUUAGGCAUGUUGGAAUGUGAUGAAGGAAGGAGAACAAAAUUUCAGCCCAGACAUUUGGGUAGAGCAGCCUGUAGACACAUAGAGACCAAGCUGUUUGGAUUUUGCUGUAAAGUAAUGUGUGUUCUGUCACUGCCAUUUAUUUUUAAUAAGUAACUUGGUCUAGUUUACCCCGGUG